GAUGAAGAACGUAGCGAAAUGCGAUAAGUAAUGUGAAUUGCAGAAUUCAGUGAAUCAUCGAAUCUUUGAACGCACAUUGCGCCCGCCAGUAUUCUGGCGGGCAUGCCUGUUCGAGCGUCAUUACAACCCUCAGGCCCCCGGGCCUGGCGUUGGGGAUCGGCGAGGCGCCCCCCGCGGGCACGCGCCGUCCCCCAAAUACAGUGGCGGUCCCGCCGCAGCUUCCAUUGCGUAGUAGCUAACACCUCGCGACUGGAGAGCGGCGCGGCCAUGCCGUAAAACACCCAACUUCUGAAUGUUGACCUCGAAUCAGGUAGGAAUACCCGCUGAACUUAAGCAUAUCAAUAAGCGGAGGA
This 353-nucleotide unclassified non-coding RNA is filed under the name soil metagenome. RNAcentral's name for it is "partial contains 5.8S ribosomal RNA, internal transcribed spacer 2, and large subunit ribosomal RNA". The stretch from base 1 to 120 matches the Rfam family "5.8S ribosomal RNA", at positions 35 to 154 of the family's 154-position model. The record is from RNAcentral.